Molecule: long non-coding RNA, 2217 nt
Filed under: Canis lupus familiaris (dog)
Lineage: Eukaryota; Metazoa; Chordata; Mammalia; Carnivora; Canidae
Description: lncRNA (ENSCAFG00805030313.1, ENSCAFG00845014962.1)
Source: RNAcentral
UUUUUCUUUUUCUUUUUUUUUUCCCUUUCUUUCUUCUUCCUUCUUUUCUUCUUUCUCUUUCUUUCCUUUUCCUUUUUUCUUUUCUUUCAAGAUAUUAGUUAUUCAUGAGAGACAGAGAGAGAGAGAGCGGCAGAGACAGAGAGAGAGAGCGGCAGAGACACAGGCAGAGGGAGAAGCAGGCUCCCUGCGGGGAGCCUGAUGCAGGACUCGAUUCCAGGACCCUCGGAUCAUGACCUGAACCGAAGGCAGACACUCAACCACUGAGCCACCCAGGCGUCCCUAUUAUUUAGAGGAAAAAAAAAAAAAAGAUUCUCAAAACAUGUUCCUGUGGAACAUCGGUGUCCCUGAGUAUGCUAAGGCACUAGAAAACCACACAAUGGUGGUCUUUUCUCAGUUUGCAGGGGGAAAUGGUCCUAUUGCAAAGAAUGUUUUUGAUGAAAAUAUUUUUUCCCUUUGGUUAAAAAUCACUACCACCACAAGAGGACAACUUUGUGCUUGCUAUCAUUUGUACUAGAAAAGACUAGCAGAAAGCAAAAUUUAAAAAAUCAAGUAUGUAUUUGAUUUUAACAGAGAAGCUCAGAAACAGCCUGCUAUGCGGGUCUAGGGAGCAAGGCCUGUUUUGAGGGCCUGAGAUUCCCCAGUGGGCCUGAUAUUGGGAGCCCUUGGAAGUGCACAGUGACCCAUGGUCAGGCCAGUCAGAAUAUUCCUGACCAUUGUGACUGGUUCAGGGAUGGGAAUGUGAUCCCAGACUUUGGUGCUGCCUCUGGAGGAGGCUGGGUCUUCCCUUUAGGGUGUUGGAGCUGCUGGUUGCAUAAAGGAAGCUCACUGCUGGGGGGGCGGGGAGGGGGUAAGGCCACCAAGUAUGGAGAGAGGCUCUGAUGACAUCUGAGUGCCUAGGGCCAGCUUGAAGCUGGGACCACCCUAGACUCUUCUUACAGCAACGGAGCCAUGCCCUUUCCAUCAUGGGCUGGCAGUGGGGCAUAUUGCCAUGUUUCCUUUGGGCAUGACUGUUUCCUAGACUGUGUGAUAGAAAUGAAUACAUAACUAUUUCUCGUGCUUCCCAAGAGGGCUCUGUGAUACUCCGCAGCUCCACCUGAGACCCUCUGCUCCAAGUAACUUCCCAUCAAGUGGGGACAGGCCCCCUUCCCAGUUCCAGGCUUCCUGGCCUCUGAGUCUUCUUGGCCCUCAAAGAUCAUCCCGUCCAGGAGCACCCCCCCCCACACACACACAUGUACUGUUUCCCCCAUCUCCCUGACGACUCUGAGGGUCAUCCCGAAACCCUGGUGGUUUCCUAGCAAUUCCAAGCACAGGAGCUCCUCAAGGUUCACAUCUGGCCUUGCAGGACUCCAGGUGGGAGACUCUGGGGAAGGGGGCUGUUGAGGAAAGGGAUGCUUCUGCCACCCCCUCUCUCCCAAUUCCCUGGGCUUCUCACAUGCAGUUUUGCCUUGGUUUGUACAUGACUACUUGAGUGCACAGAACCUCCAAACCUCAGACUACCUUCCCCACCAUCUGAGGGAGGCUGCCUGCAGAGGCUGCCUCCUCCCCUAGGGCCAGAUCUCCAUCCCCCUGUGGAGCCCUUCUCCUGUCCAGAGGCCCCUCGCCUCAAGAGCGGGACAGAAAGCAGGGUCUCUGCUUGGCAAUCAGCUCUUUCUCCACAAGGCCAGAGGCCAGAGGCGGGUGUGGGUGGCGCCUGCCUCACUGGUUUUGGGACCCCUGCCGCUCUUGGAGAGGGGUGCUGUGAGCACUCUGUUAGAGCUACAGGCCUGUGGGCAGCCUCUCUCUGGGUGGGCAUGUGUGGCUCCCAGGCUCCUGGGGCAGGGCAACAUCAGAGCAGCGUCCUGGAGGGACCCUGAGCCAGGGCAGUGGCUCGGGCCCACCCCUCCACCCCCUGGGCCCUUCAUUUUCGAUUGUUCCCAUUUGUAAAGGGGUAACAAGGGCCAUCUCAUGGAGCUUUGGCUGGAGUUACCUGGGGCGACCAGCUUGUAAAGCACCCUGGCCAAGUUGGGGUGUGGGUUGCAAACUGACACCAGUGCCCCGCUAUCCAGGAAGAGCACAAGGUCAGCCAUGGAUGCAGCUCCUCCCAGGGCCCCAGCCAGCUUCCUUGAUUCCCUCUUUGGGUUCUGAGAGUCGAGAGUGCCCGCUCCCAUGCAGGGGGGUCUCUUCAUGAACCUUACCCUCUGUGAGCCUUCUGGGGCCUGGGGGUGGGAAUGUGUGCCC